AUAUAUAUAUAUGUAUAAUGUGCAAUGCGUAUGCAGAAUAAUACGAGCAGUUACAGACGAGACUCUUGAGUCUUAAGAGAUCCCAAGGCGGAUAUGGAGUCAUCGCACCCGGGUCCGUUUCACGUUAGCUUCCGGUAGCCGUUUUACUGACGUCAAUUAUACAGUUGGUCAAAUUUUAUAUUUUAAUUUUCAAAAACGUUUGCAAAAAAAAUUGCGAGAAAAAAAAAAAUAAAAGAUAUGGAAUAAUUAUCGAACGAAAUUUGGCAGACGUUUAAUAACGGUAGCGAGUAAAAAUUAUUUAAGAAAUAAAAAAACCGGAAUAUUGCAAGUGCUGAUCACUGGUACCGUUGUAAAUACCAGCCGGUAUAUUUAUGUACGUCUGUCAAGAUAACGAGGUUCCCGGGGGCUUCUUCUCACCAGCAGCAGCCAGUAUACGAAGAAAUUCAAGAGAAUUACGUGGAUGGCUUGAAUGAGUCGUAAGAUAUGUUCUAGAGCAUCGAAAUCACAAGAGAGUUGUUACAGGCGACAGACGAAGAAUUUAUUAAAGAGGACAUUAACCGGAUAACAAAUUGAUCGAUCGACCCGUACUAACGUCUAAUGAAGUUAAAGUGCAUCAUGAGGGAUUACGUGAAACCCGAUGCAAGCGGCGAAAUUCUAUACUACAACAAAGACCUUCAAGUGGCGACAGCUGUGAUGAAUCUUGUAAGCUAGUACUCGAAGCAUCUCGACUGUUCAAUGAUACUACAGGAAGCGAUGCAACCAUCAUAAAUGUACACAGAAAUCUGCAUUAUCUACACUACGAAGACGAUACUUUCUUUACAAAUUACUUUUUUCAAAAAAUAGUACAAUAAUUAUUACGAUUAAUUUAAAUGAUUACUAGGUAUAUGAAGCAAGACAGAUAAUUAAAUAUUUGAAGAGGCUUUUUAUAAUUUUAAAAUGUUCUAGCAAACUUACCUUGCGUCGCCAUUUCUGGGGCGCGCAAAAAAAAAGAUAUUGCUGAAUUAGAAAACUAGUGCG
Long non-coding RNA from Microplitis mediator, 1017 nucleotides. RefSeq lists it as uncharacterized. NCBI's taxonomy places the organism in Eukaryota, Metazoa, Arthropoda, Insecta, Hymenoptera, Braconidae. The transcript is spliced from 3 exons. The record is from RefSeq and is a predicted model, not a curated record.